GAUGAACGCUGGCGGCGUGCUUAACACAUGCAAGUCGAACGAAGCACUUUAUUUGAUUUCCUUCGGGACUGAUUAUUUUGUGACUGAGUGGCGGACGGGUGAGUAACGCGUGGGUAACCUGCCUUGUACAGGGGGAUAACAGUUGGAAACGGCUGCUAAUACCGCAUAAGCGCACAGCAUCGCAUGAUGCAGUGUGAAAAACUCCGGUGGUAUAAGAUGGACCCGCGUUGGAUUAGCUAGUUGGUGAGGUAACGGCCCACCAAGGCGACGAUCCAUAGCCGACCUGAUAGGGUGACCGGCCACAUUGGGACUGAGACACGGCCCAAACUCCUACGGGAGGCAGCAGUGGGGAAUAUUGCACAAUGGGCGAAAGCCUGAUGCAGCGACGCCGCGUGAGCGAAGAAGUAUUUCGGUAUGUAAAGCUCUAUCAGCAGGGAAGAUAAUGACGUUACCUGACUAAGAAGCACCGGCUAAUUACGUG
This 481-nucleotide ribosomal RNA is filed under the name uncultured bacterium. RNAcentral describes it as "partial 16S ribosomal RNA". It matches the Rfam family "Bacterial small subunit ribosomal RNA", at positions 28 to 507 of the family's 1533-position model. The record is from RNAcentral.